This 703-nucleotide ribosomal RNA is filed under the name uncultured bacterium. RNAcentral describes it as "bacterial SSU rRNA". It matches the Rfam family "Bacterial small subunit ribosomal RNA", at positions 55 to 755 of the family's 1533-position model. The record is from RNAcentral.
AUGCAGUCGAACGGUACAGGUCUUCGGAUGCUGACGAGUGGCGAACGGGUGAGUAAUACAUCGGAACGUGCCCGAUCGUGGGGGAUAACGGAGCGAAAGCUUUGCUAAUACCGCAUACGAUCUACGGAUGAAAGCAGGGGACCGCAAGGCCUUGCGCGGACGGAGCGGCCGAUGGCAGAUUAGGUAGUUGGUGGGAUAAAAGCUUACCAAGCCGACGAUCUGUAGCUGGUCUGAGAGGACGACCAGCCACACUGGGACUGAGACACGGCCCAGACUCCUACGGGAGGCAGCAGUGGGGAAUUUUGGACAAUGGGCGAAAGCCUGAUCCAGCCAUGCCGCGUGCAGGAUGAAGGCCUUCGGGUUGUAAACUGCUUUUGUACGGAACGAAAAGACUCCUUCUAAUAAAGGGGGUCCAUGACGGUACCGUAAGAAUAAGCACCGGCUAACUACGUGCCAGCAGCCGCGGUAAUACGUAGGGUGCAAGCGUUAAUCGGAAUUACUGGGCGUAAAGCGUGCGCAGGCGGUUAUAUAAGACAGAUGUGAAAUCCCCGGGCUCAACCUGGGAACUGCAUUUGUGACUGUAUAGCUAGAGUACGGUAGAGGGGGGAUGGAAUUCCGCGUGUAGCAGUGAAAUGCGUAGAUAUGCGGAGGAACACCGNAUGGCGAANGGCAUCCCCUGGACCUGUACUGACGCUCAUGCACG